Molecule: ribosomal RNA, 425 nt
Filed under: uncultured bacterium
Lineage: Bacteria
Description: partial 16S ribosomal RNA
Rfam family: Bacterial small subunit ribosomal RNA
Source: RNAcentral
GUAGGGAAUCUUGCGCAAUGGGCGAAAGCCUGACGCAGCCAUGCCGCGUGAAUGAUGAAGGUCUUAGGAUUGUAAAAUUCUUUCACCGGGGACGAUAAUGACGGUACCCGGAGAAGAAGCCCCGGCUAACUUCGUGCCAGCAGCCGCGGUAAUACGAAGGGGGCUAGCGUUGCUCGGAAUUACUGGGCGUAAAGGGAGCGUAGGCGGAUAGUUUAGUCAGAGGUGAAAGCCCAGGGCUCAACCUUGGAAUUGUCUUUGAUACUGGCUAUCUUGAGUAUGGAAGAGGUAUGUGGAACUCCGAGUGUAGAGGUGAAAUUCGUAGAUAUUCGGAAGAACACCAGUGGCGAAGGCGACAUACUGGUCCAUUACUGACGCUGAGGCUCGAAAGCGUGGGGAGCAAACAGGAUUAGAAACCCUGGUAGUCC